CAACGCGAAGAACCUUACCAGGCCUUGACAUGCAGAGAACUUUCCAGAGAUGGAUUGGUGCCUUCGGGAACUCUGACACAGGUGCUGCAUGGCUGUCGUCAGCUCGUGCGUGAGAUGUUGGGUUAAGUCCCGUAACGAGCGCAACCCUUGCCUUAGUUACCAGCACGUUAUGGUGGGCACUCUAAGGAGACUGCCGGUGACAACCGGAGGAAGGUGGGGAUGACGUCAAGUCAUCAUGGCCCUUACGGCCUGGGCUACACACGUGCUACAAUGGUCGGUACAAAGGGUUGCCAAGCCGCGAGGUGGAGCUAAUCCCAUAAAACCGAUCGUAGUCCGGAUCGCAGUCUGCAACUCGACUGCGUGAAGUCGGAAUCGCUAGUAAUCGUGAAUCAGAAUGUCACGGUGAAUACGUUCCCGGGCCUU
RNAcentral lists this ribosomal RNA (423 nucleotides) under uncultured Pseudomonas sp. RNAcentral describes it as "bacterial SSU rRNA". It matches the Rfam family "Bacterial small subunit ribosomal RNA", at positions 957 to 1382 of the family's 1533-position model. The record is from RNAcentral. Lineage: Bacteria; Pseudomonadati; Pseudomonadota; Gammaproteobacteria; Pseudomonadales; Pseudomonadaceae.